GUUGCCCAGGCUGGUCUUGAACUCUUGGGCUCAAGUGAUCCUCGCAUCUCAGCCUCCCAAAGUGCUGGGAUUACAGGCAUGAGCCACAGCACCCGACCUUGUAUCAUUUUAAUUAAUUUAAAAUUAAUCGUAAGUAGCCACAUGAGGCUAGCGGCCACCAGACAGCACAGCCCUGGUGUGCUCUGGGACCCAGUCGGGCAGGCACCCCUAUGCUGGCUGGGGCCUGGGGCCGCCCCACUUCUCUCAACACUGAUGGGCAUGAGCAUUCCUCACCCCAGGGCUCUGAGCACCUCACAGAUGGGGGGUUGUGCCACCCUAGCAGUCCCUGCCCCCUGGGAGGCUGGGGAACCCUCUCCUCAGUGGGCAGAUAGGGAGACCCAAGCCUAGGGAAGGAAAGUAACUAACUAACUCAGGGUCACACAGCAGGGGCAGGAAUAGCAACCUGGGCUGCUGGACUCACACCCCAAUCAUUCGGAAGGUGGGCAAGCCCAGAGUCCCUUUGGCUUGGGGCAUGUAGGUCAUUUUCAGGUAACAAAGCACUUCCCCUAAGCCUCCAAAUAAGGAACUUAUUUUAGAUAAAAUCCCCCACAAGGGUCCUGGGGAAAUUCCUGUUUCCUAAGUAAGCAAACAGAGGUUGAGCGUUCAGACACUCGAGUCAGACCUGGGGACACUUCAAGCUCCCCGGCUUACUCUGGGUGACCUUGGCACCUAACUUUAGGUCUCUGAGCCUCAGUUUCCUCCUCCAUCAAUGAAAACAGAAACUACAUGGCUUCACGAGAUUGCUACGGCUGUGCAUAGCCUCAGUGUGGGGCAAGUGGCAACUCUCAGCAACCACGGGGUUACGCUCAUCUGGGUGUAGGAGGUGCGGGUACUGCUGGAGCAGGGUGGAGGGGACACGGCUGCUGUCUCUGCAAGAGGAAAAGGAUAACCAGCCUGAGAGUGAGUGGGGGGUGAGGUGGGGGUGGGGUUGUCGCUGUGGCAGGUUCCAGAGCUGGCUAGGAUUCCCAAUCACUGCUGCUCUUGGGCCCCAGGUGAAGUACUUAUCUGGGAGUCUCAGUUUCCCUGCCCGAGAUCGGCAGGCUACAAGUGCCCCCCAGGUGUUUGGGCAGGACCCUGGGACCCUUCUCCGGGCUGGCAAUUGGGUGUGAUCGCGGGAAGAGGCUUCUUGGGCCUGCUCCGUGUCUACUGUCACCCAGGCUGUAAAGAUGACAGAGGGCCGGAGCGGCUCUCCAGGCUGGGGCCUGGCAUUUCACAGCACUAGCGCCCUGUGACUUAUGGACCACAAGAAGCUGUGAUUUAUACAACGUGAGGCAGAGCUCCUGGGCUCGUGAGUUCCCUUCUGAGAUGAAGUGCCUUGCAGAAGCAGCAGCUGCUUAGCUGAUGCGAGGGGACUCCGAGGCCCAUCCAUCUCCCUAGGAGGCUGGGCAGCGUUUUGCUGAAGUGGCUGAACACAGGUGCAUCUGUUACUGUCUCCAGAAACCAUCAAAGAGCUGAACUUGUCCCUGAGAGGCAGCUCAGAGGGCAGGAAGGGGAGACCCACCCAGGCCAGCUGAGGCAGCUUCAGGACGCUCAGGGGGAAGCACUUGGUACCACGCCUGGCACAGGGAGGAGGCUUGGAGCAAGCUUCUCUCUCCUGGAGCGACGGCCCGGAGUGCAAACAUACCCACCUCCAGUGGGUGCCAGCCCAAGUGUGAGCUUUAUUGGCUCAUCAGCCCGCACAGCAUCAGCCCAGUUUUACAGAUGAGAAAAGUGAGGGUCAGGAAUGUGAAAUGGCCCGCCCAAGGCACACUCCCUAAGUGGCAGAACCACGCAGAAAGCACAGCCCCGACUCCACCCCGGUCUGUUCAGCGCUGGCCCCACCGGCAGAGAAGCAAGCUGGUGCUAAUAAUUCCACCCCACGUGGAACCGGUGCCCAGAAGCCCCGCUGGAUCUUUGCCGCCUCGUCUUUGGGUGAUAGUUGUUGUCAGGGCUUCCCUUUAGGUGGGCGAAAAUAUCUGUUUACCCAGGAAUGGAGCAAUUUCCCAGGCGAGUCUCUAACUAGCUAAAUGCCUGGUCCUGCCUCCGUCGCAGGGAAGCCGCCCACUGUGAAACACGAGCCACUCAGCAGGGAAAUGUUUAAGCGGCACCCGCUGCACACCGGGAGCGGCGGGGCGAGGGGCGGGGGCGUUCCCGGUGAUUCCACACCCCGGCCCAGCAUGGUGCCUGUCCCAGGAGCCUGGCCACACCCAGUGAGGUGGAACAGGGCUGGCGGAGGGCUGGACCCUGGACCACUGUGCAGGCUGUCCCUGCACUGAGUCAGCCGGGUUUAAAUGGACGAGGUCGCGGUCCACUCGGUCCAGGGUAGGUCAACAGGGCACCCACACCCUCUCAGCCAUGCAGGGGACCCUGGGGGAAGAAGGCUGGAUUGGACCAUGGUCUCAGGCAGGGGCGUGGUCUGGCCCCUUCAUCCUGGGCGUGCAGGGCUGUUCCAUGGGGAUCGUCGCAGAGUAGAGUGCACAGUGCCGGUGUGAGCCCACGGGGACAGCAUGGAGGAGUAGGUCCUCCCUCAGCCUUUGCCCCCACCAAUGCUGACAACGGUGGGGCCAGCAGGGCUUUGGCCCUGGCUGGUGGGGCACUGUGGGGUGGGCUCUUCCAGUGUGGAGAUGACCUUGGGCAGGGGCUGCAGGUUCCAUUCACCCUGCAAGGAAGGGGGCAGAAGGUAAACUGAGGCUGGAGGGGCAAGAUGGGUGGCUGCUUCCCCAGCCACCUCUUGGAUUCUUGCCCUCAAACUCAGCUUGUCUCAAACUGAACUCACUCUUCUCCCCCAAGUUGCUUUUUGGGGGUCCUCACCUCAGUAAAUGCCCCCUCCCCUGGCUUCCCAUUCACCUAGUCAGGAACCUGGGAGUCAUCCAGGCCUCUCCCCGCCUCUGUCCCCACCCCAUUUAAUCAUUCACCCUAAUGUAGCAACCAGAGCCCCUGGCUGCAGGCUCUGAUAUUUUGUAGCUAUCUCUUCCCCUCAAGGCUACACCAAAUGCCAAGUUUUCAACCCCAUCAGACGCCCACCCCAAUGUAGCAACCAGAGCCCCUGGCUGCAGGCUCUGAUAUUUUGUAGCUAUCUCUUCCCCUCAAGGCUACACCAAAUGCCAAGUUUUCAACCCCAUCAGACGCCCACCCCACACUAUUCUCAGCAAGCCAGUAUUAGCCCUUCCUUCCCUUGGUGCUGAGGAUGUUUGACUUAGCAGUUAAUCUGGCUCCCAAAUGCUUCUGGGAAGGAUCUUCCUGGAUCUCCAGGCUGCGGCACCUUAUGCGACUAACUCUGCAUAGGCCCUGGGCUCCUGACCACAGCCCGCUGGGCUCAGGAUAAAUUAGAUGCCUUCGAAUACCAGUGGGUCUCAGAUAAGGAGGAAAAAACCAGCUCGCAGCUACAGACUGGUUCGUUUCUUACCUUCCCCUCCCCUGGUGCUUUAUUUUUAGGCAGGUUAGUGCGCCCUGCUCACACCACCUGCAUUUGGCAUUCGGUACAGUGUGGAGGUGUCACCAGAGAGGGUGCCUGCCCUCCCUUCUUUGCCUCGUUAUUGGUGCUCUCUCUCUCUCCUCUCUCUGCUGGCUGGCUGUCUGUCUAGGCCUAUGUGUCACCCCCUGGCACUUGCUCUCAUUGUCUUGUGCGAGUGCUUUUGCCAGCAGUUUGGAGUGCAGGCCCAUCACCCCUCACUGGGGCCCCCCAUGAGGCCUGCCCGACUGCAUGCCCCACCCGGGCCCAUGGCAGCGCACCUGGAAGCGGACGGCUGAGGACUUGUUGCAGUGCAUGGAGAUGGGCGCGAAGCUGUACAGGGCCUUCAGUACAUCGCGGUUGAAGGAGUUCCAGGGAACAGAGGAUCCCAAAGCCCCCCUGCAAGAUGGAGAAGACCCGUCAACCCCGGGCCAUGCCACGCAGACGCUGCCAUCCAGCAGCUUCGCCACACCCACGUGUUCACUGCGUCCACUCGUCUGUUCACUGCACCGUGCCAGGCAUGCUCUGGGGAACCGAGUCCCUGCCCUCACGGAAUUGCCACCAUUGGCAGGAGAGACAGGCAGUGAGUGAGUCAACCAGGAAAUUCAUAUCAGGUACUGAUGUUGCUGUGAAGAAAAAUGAAACGGGACAAGCGGAUGGGGUGUUAUUGUGCCCAUUUUAUGGGUACAGAAACUGAGUCUCAGAGCAGGCAAGGGGACGCCCCGUGGUGGCCACAGCAUCGGUGGCACAGCCUGAGUGGACCCAGCCUCCCGGCUGUUGUCUGGAAGCUGUCCCCAUGACCUCCAGCGAGAGCCUGGAGCCAAGGACUGCAAGGGAGGCCCUUUCCACUGCAGCCCCGCACCGUCCACCAGUCAUUUCUCCAACGUGGCUCUGAGGGGAGCAGGGACUCUAGAAGACAGGACCGUGACUAGAGGCCGCGACAACCUCCAGCCUCUCACGGCAACCCUACGGCCUGCCAUCGCAUGGGAGGGGCAGGGCAGGCACCCUCUGAGUCCCCACUGCCAGCUUUAAGCCCCUCGCUGGGUUGCUGCUCUUGGAGCUGGUGACCGUGGAGCCUCAGCCAUAGGAGGAAGAACAGCAGCAGCUUGGAGGAGCUGGGGCUGGAGAGAGCAAAGCUCCCCCGGCAGCUGCUCAGACCCCAGCAGGUCAGGGGCCGGGACAUGACGCCCUGGCCACCCUUGCCCCUCCAGGCUCCCUGCUGUUUGUGAAGCUGCUGUAGGCCUGGGGAUUUCAUCUGGCUGGUGGGGAAGAAAGGCAAUCUUUACUCUAUGGCAGAACAAAGGGACUGGGCAAAGCUCGGCGUGGCACUUACACCAGCUGCCACCCCCUCCUCCCGUGCAGACAAAGAGCAUGGGACAGUUCUGCCCAGAGACGAAACCUGGCACCUGUUGGCCAGGACGGGUUUUUGCCAGCAUUGUUCUCUGGGCCGGAUUCCUCCUUUCCCAGCUUUUCUCAUCCAUCCCGCCCCCGUCAGAUCGGGACGAUUGCCCUCCUGUGUGAGUUCCUGUCCCUCCCCACCCUCUGCCGCCACAGACAUCAAAAGGGAACUGAGUCCAACCCUGUGUAGAAUCUGUUCUCCUCUUUCCCCUGGGGAAGGAAAUCGAAUUUCAAAGGCCACUGUGUCUUGGAUCAGCAGGUGAGGGCUUCUCAGAGUGUGAGAAGCUCAGGUCCACCUGGGGAGCUGCCCUCCCCUUUGAUCCCACCUGGUGCUGUGAUGUGGCCACUGCCAAGAGGAGGGCAUGGGCCAGGGAAGCCACAGAACUGCCCACGGGGACGCUGGCACCGAGGGCCUCAACCUGCAGAACGGCCAUCUGAGAUGUCCAUGGUGCUCACCAGGCCUGGCAGCCCCGAACGCCCUGGGACGUGGCGUCAGUUCCGCCGCCGUGAAGCCAGGUUGGGCAGGGAACAUGCAGUCUCCUCGCUGGAUGCCCGGCAAGACCCUCCCAUCCCUGGCCCCAGGGCCGUGCCUGCAGAAUGGGGCUGAUGGUGGGGACUUGCCUGGGGUGCUCCACCUGCAGAACCCUCUGUUUGCGAGCCCACUCAGUCACUGCACAGGUGCUUAGCCGAGAGGCGGCACAGUCGGGGUUGGCACCUGCACCCAUACCAGCCCUACCUCCUGUUCGCUGUGUGGCCUGAGUGGCUGGACCUCACUGUAUCUCCUGGUGGGAUUGCUCAGAGGUCUCAGCAAGGCUUGGUGUGGUUAGGAUGAGUUAUUAGAGCAGUGCUGAGCUGUGGCAAGCACCCGACAUCAGCCACUGCUGUGGUAUACUGGGCACCUCCUCUGGAGAGAAUAAAGGACUGACAAAGCUGUCCUGCCCCCACCCUGAGUUUGUGAUCAGGAACCUAGGACACUUUUGUCACCUGAAAUCCAAGGGAGACAGGAAGGGUGUGGUAAGAGCUGUGAGGCACAAGACCCUGGGUCAAAUCCCAGCUCAGCCAUCUAUCAGCUGUGUGACUUUGGUCAAGUGCCUGCCCUCUCUGAGCCUUUAUGUCUCACCUGUGAAAAUACAAACACUGGCUGGGUGCUAUGGCUCAUGCCUGUAAUCCCAGCAUGAGGGAUUACAUGAGGAGUUUGAGACCAGCCUGGCCAACAUGGUGAAAAUCCAUCUCUACUAAAAAUACAAAAAUUAGCCAGGCGUGGUGGUGGGUGCCUGUAGUCCCAGCUAUUCAGGAGGCUGAGGCAGGAGAAGCGCUUGAACUCAGGAGGUGGAGGUUGCAGCAAGCUGAGAACACACAGCCUGG
RNAcentral lists this long non-coding RNA (6232 nucleotides) under Pan troglodytes (chimpanzee). Its description in RNAcentral is "long non-coding RNA NONPTRT017989". Lineage: Eukaryota; Metazoa; Chordata; Mammalia; Primates; Hominidae. The record is from RNAcentral.